ACAAUCUUCAUGACAAAAUUAAAAAAUGUGUCGCCUUAAAUAACUUUAUUGCCACAACAUUUUACAUGUCGUGAAAUCAAGAUUUUGUUGUAGUGUAUGUACUAUCACACCGGCUGGCAAUUGCUCGACUAUCAUAGUCUCUGGUGUAACUGUCGGGAGUAUUUCAUUCGAAUUCGAGGGCAAGGAGUUACUGCAAUCACUGGCUGUAAUUCCUUUCAGUUGCAUUGCAGUACAGGAAGUAUUUUCACCCUCACCAUUUUAAAACUCAAUUUCCCCAUCUCCUUUGAACCAAAUCGACUCUAAGACAACCACAUUUCUUUUCUCAUUCAUCAUAUAUUAUUUAUGGAUUUAUUCAAAGGGAAAAUCAACAUCAAAUUCAGACCAUAGCUCACAAAGAUAUGAUUUUUAUGAAAUUUCAAAUUUUUGCAUACCUUUGAACUUUCAAUUAAAAGUUGUGGAUUUGAUUGUUGAUGAGGAGAUUAGAUUAGGUAGUUGUUGGGUUUCGUUGGUAGAUUAUUAUGAUUUAUUUUUUAUUUUUUGGCUGGAAUUCAUUCACUCAAUGCGUUUUAUCCCCAGCAUUUUUUCCCGCUCAUAAGAUAUUCGAUAAAAUGCCUUAACGGUGAUAUUUGGACCCCAUUUUCAUACGACUCACAUAUCAUCCCCUACAUUAUAUCCACGAGCGUACACAUUUGCAUUAUAUUCACAACGUUAUGUUCACGCAAAGCAUGUAGUUUCUGUUCCCUAUUUUCAACUCCUAUUUCCAUCCACCUCAUUGCACUCAUUAUUGAUCCAUUUGAGGUGUCUUGUGCUCCAAUUGUGCAUCUUAUCAUAUCCUUUGUGUACCUAUAAUAUUCAUGAUUUUCAUCUAAAAUUGAAGGUUACGAUGACAUUCAAAUGCAAACACCAAAAGCAACGGAAAAUAUGAAUGGAAAAGCUCAACUUUUGCCUACACCGACACACCCCUAAGUGAGUCUUUGCGGAUCUCUUUUGUUAUUCUUAUUGAGAUAUGAUUUAUAAUUGCAUAUUUUGAUAUAUAGUUUAAGUAUGGGAGUGGUUGUAUCAAAAUAAUAUACAUAUAUGAUGAUCGAUAUUGUGAGAGAUUUGAUUGCCGUGUUUGGUUGCAUGUCACUACUUCCGUAUACGUAAAAGAUUCAAAAAUAAUUUAUUGCUUUAUGUGUUCUUGUGAGUUGGAUGGCUUUGCUGACUAAUAAUGAUAUU
This 1218-nucleotide long non-coding RNA is filed under the name Olea europaea (common olive). RNAcentral's name for it is "long non-coding RNA (OEUR_LNC009593)". Lineage: Eukaryota; Viridiplantae; Streptophyta; Magnoliopsida; Lamiales; Oleaceae. The record is from RNAcentral.